AGGGAAAACAAGAAAAGGACCAGCCUCCCAUUCCAAGGGGACUCGUAGAAAAGGACCUCGACAGCACCGUGCCAGUGAUGAGCAGAGGCUUGGUGCUCAGGAUGAGACCAGCCCUGGAGCCGAUCGUUCCCCCUAUAACAAUGGAUAUAAGGACAGGACCUUCGACACCCUGAGUUUGGACAGCUCUGACAGUGUGGACACUAAUGUCUCAGCAUGCUCUCCAGACAAUAUUUCAAGGUAAAACUUUUCUCCACUGUCCUAUGUUCCAUCUGCCUCUGAAACAAUAAGCCUGGUUAGCAACCUUAGACAGAGAAGAGGAGAAUGCUGGGACAUUUUAAGAAAACCUACCUACUUUUUGCACCACAUCCAGAAUUGCUCCCACCUCAGCUCACUUGGAAUUCUCACUCUCGUGUUUUUGGAGUUUGGGAUUGACUAUUCCAAGCCAUUCUCUGGUUUGGCCUCCUCACUCCUCUCCCUCAUAAACAC
Non-coding RNA from Chiloscyllium plagiosum (whitespotted bambooshark), 486 nucleotides. The record is from RefSeq and is a predicted model, not a curated record. Lineage: Eukaryota; Metazoa; Chordata; Chondrichthyes; Orectolobiformes; Hemiscylliidae.